AGGCAGAAGAGGACAUAGGCGCAUAUCUAAUGACAUAAGGGCCACUAUUGUAGACAAUGGUGUCAAUCAUGGCCUUACAAUGGCUGAGGCGGGUCGAAGGGUGCAGCCGAAUAUUGGGAGAUCAACCGUGUCCUCAAUAGUUCAAACGUUUCGAAGAGAGAACAGGACUGCAAGAUUACCUCAAACCGGUGGCAGAGGACGCCUUUUCACACCUCAACAGGAGGAGGCUAUUUACACCAUGGUCCGAGCAAACAAUGCCAUGAGACUCAGGGAAAUACAAAGGACCAUUAUAGAAGACAACGAUGUCUUUGAAAACAUCCAUACGGUUAGCAUCUCAACCAUCGACAGGGUGCUGCAUAGAAACCAGAUGAGUAUGAAACAGCUGUACCGUGUACCAUUCCAAAGGAAUGAGGACAGAGUUAAGGAGCUACGGUACCAGUAUGUACAGCAUGGAGGUGGAAGGUGUACGAUCAUCAGCCACACACACAGAUGACCCUGCUGGCUGCAAUGGAUGCAGCAUGUGAGGACAUCACAGUAGACGCCUGCAGAGGA
This 552-nucleotide long non-coding RNA is filed under the name Salmo salar (Atlantic salmon). Its description in RNAcentral is "lncRNA (ENSSSAG00000095091.1)". The record is from RNAcentral. Lineage: Eukaryota; Metazoa; Chordata; Actinopteri; Salmoniformes; Salmonidae.